RNAcentral lists this ribosomal RNA (292 nucleotides) under uncultured bacterium. RNAcentral describes it as "partial 16S ribosomal RNA". It matches the Rfam family "Bacterial small subunit ribosomal RNA", at positions 505 to 796 of the family's 1533-position model. The record is from RNAcentral.
GUGUCAGCAGCCGCGGUAAUACGGGGGGGGCAAGCGUUGUUCGGAAUUACUGGGCGUAAAGGGCUCGUAGGCGGCCCUCUCAGUCGGAUGUGAAAUCCCCAGGCUUAACCUGGGAACGGCAUCCGAUACUGGAGGGCUUGAAUUCGGGAGAGGGAUGCAGAAUUCCAGGUGUAGCGGUGAAAUGCGUAGAUAUCUGGAGGAAUACCGGUGGCGAAGGCGGCAUCCUGGACCGAGAUUGACGCUGAGGAGCGAAAGCUAGGGGAGCAAACGGGAUUAGAUACCCCGGUAGUCC